AACGAACGCUGGCGGCAUGCCUAACACAUGCAAGUCGAACGAACCCUUCGGGGUUAGUGGCGCACGUGUGCGUAACGCGGGGGAAUCUGCCCUUUGCUUCGGAAUACCUCAGGGAAACUUGUGCUAAUACCGGAUGAUGUCUUCGGACCAAAGAUUUAUCGGCAUGGGAUGAGCCCGCGUAGGAUUGGGUAGUUGGUGGGGUAAUGGCCUGCCAAGGCGACGAUCCUUAGCUGGUCUGAGAGGAUGACCAGCCACAAUGGGACUGAGACACGGCCCAGACCGCUAGGCGAGGGUGGAGUGUGGAGUACUGUGCGAUGGGGGCAAGCGUGACCAAGCAGCGCGGGGGAUGUGAUGAAUGCGGUCGGGUCGUAAAGCUGUUUUACCAGGGGUGUUAAUGACAGUACCGGGUGAAUAAGCUCCGGCUAACUCCGUG
Molecule: ribosomal RNA, 433 nt
Filed under: uncultured bacterium
Lineage: Bacteria
Description: partial 16S ribosomal RNA
Rfam family: Bacterial small subunit ribosomal RNA
Source: RNAcentral